CAACCUCUGGCAAGAGAUGUUAACGUUG
The submitters of this non-coding RNA (28 nucleotides) gave its source as unclassified sequences. The record is from Rfam.